GACAGCAGCAGCCACGGGAAUACGUAGGUGGCAAGCGUUGUCCGGAAUUAUUGGGCGUAAAGCGAGCGCAGGCGGUUAGAUAAGUCUGAAGUUAAAGGCUGUGGCUUAACCAUAGUACGCUUUGGAAACUGUUUAACUUGAGUGCAAGAGGGGAGAGUGGAAUUCCAUGUGUAGCGGUGAAAUGCGUAGAUAUAUGGAGGAACACCGGUGGCGAAAGCGGCUCUCUGGCUUGUAACUGACGCUGAGGCUCGAAAGCGUGGGGCGCAAACAGGAUUAGAUACCCCCGUAGUCCCUGUCUCUUAUACA
Molecule: ribosomal RNA, 306 nt
Filed under: uncultured bacterium
Lineage: Bacteria
Description: partial 16S ribosomal RNA
Rfam family: Bacterial small subunit ribosomal RNA
Source: RNAcentral